UUUCCGUGAGUUCUCUGCCUUUUGAUUACUAUAUCAUAUGGCAUACAGAUUAGGAAGCUAAUUAUUAAUGGGGGGAGGUUGAGGGGGUAGAUUUCUGAGGGUGGGGAGGACGCAGAAGGAAGCAGACACAGUGACAGCCCUCCAGAACUUAGAGGCAUCCUCGGAGUGGAGGAAAGAAGAUUCAUCCCAUUGGUAAAACUGGAGCGAGGAACGUCUGUCCAGAGGCCAACUUCUUUGAACUGGAGCUGGAGAAAAUACUUCUGCCAAAUGAGGUCCCAUUGACAUCAUCAAGGGAGGAAAGAAAAGUCAUCACAAAUUGUUCUUGGGAUUGUUCUAUCCUUCCAAAUCUACUGUGUGUGAUUGGAUCAGUCUUCAGCUUCAAACAUGAGCUAUUUCAUUCUCAGGUUUGUUCCAGAAAGGAAGAAAAGGGCUUGUAGCAAGAUCUACCUCCAACUUUGUCAACUUUAAAACUUGUGGAGUU
Thamnophis elegans (Western terrestrial garter snake) is the source of this 481-nucleotide long non-coding RNA. RefSeq lists it as uncharacterized. The record is from RefSeq and is a predicted model, not a curated record. Lineage: Eukaryota; Metazoa; Chordata; Lepidosauria; Squamata; Natricidae. The transcript has 2 exons.